This is a long non-coding RNA of Salvia splendens (bonfire salvia), 636 nucleotides long. RefSeq lists it as uncharacterized. The transcript is spliced from 2 exons. NCBI's taxonomy places the organism in Eukaryota, Viridiplantae, Streptophyta, Magnoliopsida, Lamiales, Lamiaceae. The record is from RefSeq and is a predicted model, not a curated record.
GUAACUGAAAGCUGCAAGAGUUUGUUAUCUGACUGGAAAAGGAGCCUUAAGGCUGCCCUAUGUUGGCUGCCAUCCCUGCAGCUUGCAGGCUGGGUACUCGUGAGAUAAAUGAGCUUACAGUUCCUGGACAUGCUCUGAAAAAUUACUGAAUUUGGUGUUAUAUUCUGGUGUCCCUUUUGAUGUACAUCUUAACUGCAUUUGGCUUUAUUUUGCAGGUACGAGCUGGGCAGGGCUGUUGGGGUGAAGAGGCCGAAUGGACCGCCUCACUGCAGUCUUCGGUACCGGCUGCGGGGCAGGUCGCUGCAGGCUGUUGCAGGUCCCUCGGUGCCUUCAUUCUUGCUCAUUUAGCGUCGCACGGCUAGCUGCGGGGCUUUUCCUUUUUUUGGUCUCGCCCUCUCGGGCUUUCUGGAAUGUUGGGGCCAAGACGGCUCGCGUUGAAGGCCGAGGAAGUUCACUAGGAACUCUCGGUUGUUGUAGCUCAAAGUGAACCCCUUUUGUUAGUCUUAACAACAAUGUAGUAGCCAUUGUAGUUUGUAUGUAAUAAAUUCCAAACACUUGUAAUGUGUUAGCUUUGAAAAUUCUGAAGUUGUACUUGUACCCUUAUUCAAGAAAUAAAAAUACUCUUUCAUUCGUCAA